UAGCGUAUAUUAAAGUUGUUGCAGUUAAAAAGCUCGUAGUUGAAUUUCGGGGUCAGUAGGUCGGUCGUGCCACUGGUAUGAACUGGUUUUACUGAUUCCUCCCUCUUGAAGAACUGUAAUGCCAUUAAUUUGGUGUUGCAGGGAAUCAGGACUGUUACUUUGAAAAAAUUAGAGUGUUUAAAGCAGGCC
This 189-nucleotide ribosomal RNA is filed under the name uncultured Glomeraceae. RNAcentral's name for it is "partial 18S ribosomal RNA". It matches the Rfam family "Eukaryotic small subunit ribosomal RNA", at positions 595 to 786 of the family's 1831-position model. The record is from RNAcentral. Lineage: Eukaryota; Fungi; Glomeromycota; Glomeromycetes; Glomerales; Glomeraceae.